GCCGAAGUGGCGGAAUAGGCAGACGCGCACGACUCAAAAUCGUGUUCCCUUCGGGAAUGAGGGUUCGAUUCCCUCCUUCGGCA
Molecule: transfer RNA, 83 nt
Filed under: Pseudomonadota bacterium
Lineage: Bacteria; Pseudomonadati; Pseudomonadota
Also listed under: 1 other name
Description: tRNA-Leu
Rfam family: tRNA
About the family: Transfer RNA (tRNA) molecules are approximately 80 nucleotides in length.
Source: RNAcentral